RNAcentral lists this ribosomal RNA (504 nucleotides) under Streptococcus agalactiae. RNAcentral's name for it is "bacterial SSU rRNA". It matches the Rfam family "Bacterial small subunit ribosomal RNA", at positions 955 to 1459 of the family's 1533-position model. Lineage: Bacteria; Bacillati; Bacillota; Bacilli; Lactobacillales; Streptococcaceae. The record is from RNAcentral.
AGCAACGCGAAGAACCUUACCAGGUCUUGACAUCCUUCUGACCGGCCUAGAGAUAGGCUUUCUCUUCGGAGCAGAAGUGACAGGUGGUGCAUGGUUGUCGUCAGCUCGUGUCGUGAGAUGUUGGGUUAAGUCCCGCAACGAGCGCAACCCCUAUUGUUAGUUGCCAUCAUUAAGUUGGGCACUCUAGCGAGACUGCCGGUAAUAAACCGGAGGAAGGUGGGGAUGACGUCAAAUCAUCAUGCCCCUUAUGACCUGGGCUACACACGUGCUACAAUGGUUGGUACAACGAGUCGCAAGCCGGUGACGGCAAGCUAAUCUCUUAAAGCCAAUCUCAGUUCGGAUUGUAGGCUGCAACUCGCCUACAUGAAGUCGGAAUCGCUAGUAAUCGCGGAUCAGCACGCCGCGGUGAAUACGUUCCCGGGCCUUGUACACACCGCCCGUCACACCACGAGAGUUUGUAACACCCGAAGUCGGUGAGGUAACCUUUUAGGAGCCAGCCGCAUA